RNAcentral lists this ribosomal RNA (253 nucleotides) under uncultured bacterium. RNAcentral's name for it is "partial 16S ribosomal RNA". It matches the Rfam family "Bacterial small subunit ribosomal RNA", at positions 524 to 776 of the family's 1533-position model. The record is from RNAcentral.
UACGUAGGGGGCAAGCGUUGUCCGGAUUUACUGGGCGUAAAGCGCGUGUAGGCGGCCACGCAGGUCCGUUGUGAAAACUGGAGGCUCAACUUCCAGACGUCGACGGAAACCGUGUGGCUAGAGUCCGGAAGAGGAGAGUGGAAUUCCCGGUGUAGAGGUGAAAUUCGUAGAUAUCGGGAGGAACACCAGUGGCGAAGGCGGCGAUCUGGGCUGAUACUGACGCUGAGGUGCGAAAGCGUGGGGAGCAAACAGG